Molecule: transfer-messenger RNA, 352 nt
Filed under: Phycisphaeraceae bacterium
Lineage: Bacteria; Pseudomonadati; Planctomycetota; Phycisphaerae; Phycisphaerales; Phycisphaeraceae
Rfam family: transfer-messenger RNA
About the family: Bacterial tmRNA, also known as 10Sa RNA or SsrA, is named for its dual tRNA and mRNA-like properties. Its role is to liberate the mRNA from a stalled ribosome.
Source: RNAcentral
GGGGCCGAUACGGCAUUCGACCGGACGGGAGCAAGCUCGGUGUGGCGCGUCGAGGGGCGUGUAGGCCUCGUAAAAAAGCACGCAACUUUAUAACUGCCGAACCGCAGUUCGCACUCGCGGCUUAAUAAAGCCGUGGAUCCCUCGCCCGACGCCUGAUGAGGCGGGGGAUCAUGAUCAUCGGGCUGGUCCGUGUGUGGUGCACCCUGGCACACGGGCGAGGAGGUUUCAGGGGGCUGGAUGCGAAGCCAGGGUGUCGCUGCCCGGGCGAGCGUCGAGAUUAAAUCAGCGACUACACGCGUAGAGGCGCCGUGCUGACCGUUCCGGGACGGGGGUUCGAUUCCCCCCGGCUCCA